RNAcentral lists this ribosomal RNA (790 nucleotides) under Salmonella enterica subsp. salamae. Its description in RNAcentral is "partial 23S ribosomal RNA". It matches the Rfam family "Bacterial large subunit ribosomal RNA", at positions 1 to 688 of the family's 2925-position model. Lineage: Bacteria; Pseudomonadati; Pseudomonadota; Gammaproteobacteria; Enterobacterales; Enterobacteriaceae. The record is from RNAcentral.
GGGUUGUGAGGUUAAGCGACCAAGCGUACACGGUGGAUGCCCUGGUAGUCAGAGGCGAUGAAGGACGUGCUAAUCUGCGAUAAGCGCCGGUAAGGUGAUAUGAACCGUUAUAACCGGCGAUUUCCGAAUGGGGAAACCCAGUGUGAUUUGUCACACUAUCAUUACGUGAAUACAUAGCGUAAUGAGGCGAACCGGGGGAACUGAAACAUCUAAGUACCCCGAGGAAAAGAAAUCAACCGAGAUUCCCCCAGUAGCGGCGAGCGAACGGGGAGGAGCCCAGAGUCUGAAUCAGCAUAUGUGUUAGUGGAAGCGUCUGGAAAGGCGCGCGAUACAGGGUGACAGCCCCGUACACAAAAGCGCAUAUGCUGUGAGCUCGAUGAGUAGGGCGGGACACGUGGUAUCCUGUCUGAAUAUGGGGGGACCAUCCUCCAAGGCUAAAUACUCCUGACUGACCGAUAGUGAACCAGUACCGUGAGGGAAAGGCGAAAAGAACCCCGGCGAGGGGAGUGAAACAGAACCUGAAACCGUGUACGUACAAGCAGUGGGAGCCCCACCACCAAAGCGUUUGCUGUAGCGCGUUGACGGAGCGAAGCGACGUCAAACCGAAAAAAAACAGCAGCGAUGAACGCAGGGCGUUUUGCACGAAGUGCAAAGGCAGACGCGUUCGCGAAGCGAAAAGCGAAUGCUUUGGGGUGGGGUGACUGCGUACCUUUUGUAUAAUGGGUCAGCGACUUAUAUUCUGUAGCAAGGUUAACCGCAUAGGGGAGCCGAAGGGAAACCGAGUCUUAAC